RNAcentral lists this ribosomal RNA (461 nucleotides) under uncultured bacterium. Its description in RNAcentral is "partial 16S ribosomal RNA". It matches the Rfam family "Bacterial small subunit ribosomal RNA", at positions 29 to 523 of the family's 1533-position model. The record is from RNAcentral.
AAUGAACGCUGGCGGCAUGCCUAACACAUGCAAGUCGAACGAGGGUCUUGAUUUCGGUUGGGGCCUUAGUGGCGCACGGGUGCGUAACGCGUGGGAAUCUGCCCUUGGGUUCGGAAUAACUCAGAGAAAUUUGAGCUAAUACCGGAUGAUGUCGCAAGACCAAAGAUUUAUCGCCCAGGGAUGAGCCCGCGUAGGAUUAGGUAGUUGGUGAGGUAAAGGCUCACCAAGCCGACGAUCCUUAGCUGGUCUGAGAGGAUGAUCAGCCACACUGGGACUGAGACACGGCCCAGACUCCUACGGGAGGCAGCAGUGGGGAAUAUUGGACAAUGGGCGAAAGCCUGAUCCAGCAAUGCCGCGUGAGUGAUGAAGGCCUUAGGGUUGUAAAGCUCUUUUACCCGGGAUGAUAAUGACAGUACCGGGAGAAUAAGCUCCGGCUAACUUCGUGCCAGCAGCCGCCGUAA